Molecule: ribosomal RNA, 517 nt
Filed under: Scheffersomyces shehatae
Lineage: Eukaryota; Fungi; Ascomycota; Pichiomycetes; Serinales; Debaryomycetaceae
Description: eukaryotic LSU rRNA
Rfam family: Eukaryotic large subunit ribosomal RNA
Source: RNAcentral
CAAAUUUGAAAUCUGGCACCUUCGGUGUCCGAGUUGUAAUUUGAAGAAGGUAACUUUGGAGUUGGCUCUUGUCUAUGUUCCUUGGAACAGGACGUCACAGAGGGUGAGAAUCCCGUGCGAUGAGAUGUCCAACUCUAUGUAAAGUGCUUUCGAAGAGUCGAGUUGUUUGGGAAUGCAGCUCUAAGUGGGUGGUAAAUUCCAUCUAAAGCUAAAUAUUGGCGAGAGACCGAUAGCGAACAAGUACAGUGAUGGAAAGAUGAAAAGAACUUUGAAAAGAGAGUGAAAAAGUACGUGAAAUUGUUGAAAGGGAAGGGUUUGAGAUCAGACUUGGUAUUUUGUAUGUCUUGCUUUCGGGUGGGGCCUCUGCAGUUUACUGGGCCAGCAUCGGUUUGGACGGUAGGAUAAUGACAUUGGAAUGUGGCACUACUUCGGUGGUGUGUUAUAGACUUUGUUGAUACUGCCUGUCUAGACCGAGGACUGCGUCUUUGACUAGGAUGCUGGCAUAAUGAUCCUAAAC